RNAcentral lists this ribosomal RNA (443 nucleotides) under uncultured bacterium. Its description in RNAcentral is "partial 16S ribosomal RNA". It matches the Rfam family "Bacterial small subunit ribosomal RNA", at positions 338 to 795 of the family's 1533-position model. The record is from RNAcentral.
CCUACGGGGGGCAGCAGUGGGGAAUAUUGGGCAAUGGGCGCAAGCCUGACCCAGCAACGCCGCGUGAAGGAAGAAGGCUUUCGGGUUGUAAACUUCUUUUCUCAGGGACGAAGCAAGUGACGGUACCGGAGGAAUAAGCCACGGCUAACGACGUGCCAGCAGCCGCGGGAAUACGUAGGGGGCAAGCGUGAUCCGGAUUGACUGGGUGUAAAGGGCGUGGAGGCGGGAAAGCAAGUCAGAUGUGACAACCACGGGCUCAACCUGUGGCCUGCAUUUGAAACUGUUUUUCUUGAGUACUGGAGCGUCAGACGGAAUUCCUAGUGUAGCGGUGAAAUGCGUAGAUAUUAGGAGGAACACACGUGGCGCAGGCGGUCUGCUGGACAGCAACUGACGCUGCGGCGCGAAAGCGUGGGGAGCAAACAGGAUUAGAUACCCCGGUAGUC